RNAcentral lists this ribosomal RNA (450 nucleotides) under uncultured bacterium. Its description in RNAcentral is "partial 16S ribosomal RNA". It matches the Rfam family "Bacterial small subunit ribosomal RNA", at positions 338 to 795 of the family's 1533-position model. The record is from RNAcentral.
CCUACGGGGGGCUGCAGUAAGGAAUAUUGGUCAAUGGACGCAAGUCUGAACCAGCCAUGCCGCGUGGAGGAUGAAGGUCCUCUGGAUUGUAAACUUCUUUUAUUUGGGAAGAAACUCCCGAUUUCCAUCGGGAUUGACGGUACCAGAUGAAUAAGCACCGGCUAACUCCGUGCCAGCAGCCGCGGUACUACGGCGGGUGCAAGCGUUACUCGGUUUCACUGGGUUGAAGGUGGGCAGGGGUGUCAGUGGUGAAAUCUCCGGGCUUAACCCGGAAACUGCCAUUGAUACUAUUUGUCUUGAAUACUCUGGAGGUGAGCGGAAUAUGUCAUGUAGCGGUGAAAUGCUUAGAUAUGACAUAGAACACCCAUUGCGAAGGCAGCUCACUACGGAAAUAUUGACGCUGAGGCACGAAAGCGUGGGGAUCAAACAGGAUUAGAUACCCGAGUAGUC